Myxocyprinus asiaticus (Chinese sucker) is the source of this 435-nucleotide non-coding RNA. NCBI's taxonomy places the organism in Eukaryota, Metazoa, Chordata, Actinopteri, Cypriniformes, Catostomidae. The record is from the annotation of a RefSeq genome assembly.
AUGACGCUGCUCACCUUGAUAUUCUCAUUCUUCUACAUUGUGCUGUUCUGGUCCACAGACAUGACUCUUGCUGCAUCCAUUGAUCAACCUGCUGCCAUAAUUGCAAGUUUGGAAGACAGUGUGAACAUCAGUUGUACCCACACUUACAGUGACUACUACUACCUUUACUGGUACCGACAAACAACAACACAAGAUAAAUCCUUGAAACUUACCGGUCAUCUUUACACGACAACAUUUAAUCCUGAAACAGGCUAUGAUCGCUUUUAUAUCUAUGGAGAUUCAAGAAGCAAAGGAACACUACAGAUUUCCAAACUUACUUUAGAAGACAGUGCUGUAUAUUUUUGUGCUGUGAAUGACACAGUGCAGCAAGAAUCUGCAGUGAACAACAAAAACACCUGUUCCACCAGGAAAUUUAGAGGUUAUCAGAAUAGUUGA